CUCCGGUUGAUCCUGCCAGACCUGACUGCUAUCGGAUUGAUACUAAGCCAUGUGAGUCUUUGCAGUAAUGCAAGGCAGACGGCUCAGUAACACGUAGUCAAUCUAACCUAUGGACAGGGAUAAUCUCGGGAAACUGAGCAUAAUACCUGAUAGAUCAUUAUGCCUGGAACGGUUAAUGGUUGAAAUGAAUUUCGCCAUAGGAUGGGACUGCGGCCUAUCAGCUUGUUGGUGAGGUAAUGGCCCACCAAGGCUAUUACAGGUACGGGCUCUGAGAGGAGAAGCCCGGAGAUGGGUACUGAGACACGGACCCAGGUCCUAUGGGGCGCAGCAGGCGAGAAAACUUUGCAAUGUGCGAAAGCACGACAAGGUUAAUCCGAGUGUUUCCUGCUAAAGGAAUCUUUUGUUAGUCGUAAAACCACUAUUGAAUAAGGGGUGGGCAAGUUCUGGUGUCAGCCGCCGCGGUAAAACCAGCACCUCAAGUGGUCAGGAGGUUUAUUGGGCCUAGAGCAUCCGUAGCCGGCUCUGUUAGUUUUCGGUUAAAUCUGUACGCUCAACAUACAGGCUGUCGGGAAUACUGCAGAGCUAGGGAGUGGGAGAGGUAGACGGUACUCGGUAGGAAGGGGUAAAAUCCUUUGAUCUAUUGAUGACCACCUGUGGCGAAGGCGGUCUACCAGAACACGUCCGACGGUGAGGGAUGAAAGCUGGGGGAGCAAACCGGAUUAGAUACCCGGGUAGUCCCAGCUGUAAACUAUGCAAACUCAGUGAUGCAUUGGCUUGUGGCCAAUGCAGUGCUGCAGGGAAGCCGUUAAGUUUGCCGCCUGGGAGGUACGUACGCAAGUAUGAAACUUAAAGGAAUUGGCGGGGGAGCACCACAAGGGGUGAAGCCUGCGGUUCAAUUGGAGUCAACGCCGGA
RNAcentral lists this ribosomal RNA (913 nucleotides) under uncultured archaeon. RNAcentral's name for it is "bacterial SSU rRNA". It matches the Rfam family "Archaeal small subunit ribosomal RNA", at positions 1 to 922 of the family's 1478-position model. The record is from RNAcentral.